RNAcentral lists this ribosomal RNA (468 nucleotides) under uncultured bacterium. RNAcentral describes it as "partial 16S ribosomal RNA". It matches the Rfam family "Bacterial small subunit ribosomal RNA", at positions 28 to 507 of the family's 1533-position model. The record is from RNAcentral.
GACGAACGCUGGCAGCGUGCUUAACACAUGCAAGUCGAACGGAAAGGCCCUGCUUUUGUGGGGUGCUCGAGUGGCGAACGGGUGAGUAACACGUGAGUAACCUGCCCUUGACUUUGGGAUAACUUCAGGAAACUGGGGCUAAUACCGGAUAGGAGCUCCUGCUGCAUGGUGGGGGUUGGAAAGUUUCGGCGGUUGGGGAUGGACUCGCGGCUUAUCAGCUUGUUGGUGGGGUAGUGGCUUACCAAGGCUUUGACGGGUAGCCGGCCUGAGAGGGUGACCGGCCACAUUGGGACUGAGAUACGGCCCAGACUCCUACGGGAGGCAGCAGUGGGGAAUAUUGCACAAUGGGCGGAAGCCUGAUGCAGCAACGCCGCGUGCGGGAUGACGGCCUUCGGGUUGUAAACCGCUUUCGCCUGUGACGAGGCGUGAGUGACGGUAAUGGGUAAAGAAGCACCGGCUAACUACGUG